This 266-nucleotide ribosomal RNA is filed under the name uncultured bacterium. Its description in RNAcentral is "partial 16S ribosomal RNA". It matches the Rfam family "Bacterial small subunit ribosomal RNA", at positions 773 to 1046 of the family's 1533-position model. The record is from RNAcentral.
GUGGAUUAGAUACCCUGGUAGUCCACGCCGUAAACGAUGGAUACUAGCUGUUGGGGGCAACUUCAGUGGCUAAGCGAAAGUGAUAAGUAUCCCACCUGGGGAGUACGUUCGCAAGAAUGAAACUCAAAGGAAUUGACGGGGGCCCGCACAAGCGGUGGAGCAUGUGGUUUAAUUCGAUGAUACGCGAGGAACCUUACCAAGGCUUAAAUGUAGAUUGACAGAUUUGGAAACAGAUUUUUCUUCGGACAAUUUACAAGGUGCUGCAC